Long non-coding RNA from Oncorhynchus keta (chum salmon), 4134 nucleotides. RefSeq lists it as uncharacterized. The record is from RefSeq and is a predicted model, not a curated record. Lineage: Eukaryota; Metazoa; Chordata; Actinopteri; Salmoniformes; Salmonidae. The transcript has 3 exons.
GAUGUCCUUUAGAGUCCGGGCGAAGGUGAGCACUGCUGCCUUGUAUAGGUGGACCUGGUCAUAGAGGCUGUUCAGGGUAGAGUGGUGGGCCAGGAAAACAUUUGGUUUUGAGGCACAGUCACGGGAAAUACUUGCGUCUCCCCGCUGUAUGGUAGCAGGGUGGAAGUCUUUUCAUGGUAGCAUUGGAGAAAGUAGAAGAAGCUUUUUCAAUCACUCCCUUCAGUGCUGUGGCAACCCUUUCCUGCUAUGUUCUCAGGUUGUUUGUGCCUGUGUGUAUUAUUGUGUGGCUAGGUGAACCUAGUUGGUCCUCAGACAGAAGGUCUAGGGCACCCUUGAUGUUUGGGCACCCUGGAUGUUUGGACACCAGAGUUUAGACACACUGGUGUCUAUUUUUCCCAUUUGAGUCCAUCCUAAGUACAAUACACUCUCUCCCUCUCUCAUCUAUCACUCGCUUUUUCUCUUCUCCUCCCUCCUCUCUUUCACCCUCCUUCUCUCUACCCUCUCUUACUCUCCCUCACGCUCCCACUUCUCUCUCCCCCCUCUAUUACUUAUUUCCCCUCUCCCCCUUCUCUCCUCUCUUCUCAUCUCCCAACUUCACCUCUCUCUCUUCUCUCACCUCCACAGACAGGAUAUUGACGCAUAGAUAUACAGUACAUCAAGGGUAUUGACUCAUACAGUAAGAAUAGCAUUCAAAGCAAAACAGUUGGUGAUAAAGCUGCAAUGGGUAAAUUGGUGAAAGACAGACAGACAGACAGACAUACAGACACAGAGAGACAGACAGCCAGCCAGGCAGACAGACAAACCCUAAACCUAACCCUAAACCUAACCCUAAACCUAACCCAACCUCAUGUCCACAUACCUGGGGUAAGUUGUGCCGAGAGACCACUUUAUUUGGACAAGAUAUGUUUUGAAAACCGUAAUGUUUUCAGAUUAUUUCCAGGGAUACACAACAUCCUGAAAAAUAUGUAAAUAUCUUUGUAUACUAUAAUACUAUAUUUCCCUUGAUGGAGAAAUGCUGAAUGUAAAAAAUGUGCUCAACUUACCCCACUCUCACUUACACUUAAAAUAACAUUUGGGUUGGGUUCGGGACCAGUUCUUGCGGAACUGCGGUUAGGUUCGGGACCACUUCUUGCAGGACUGCGGGUGGGUUCGGGACCAUUUCUUGCAGGACUGCGGGUGGGUUCGGGACCAUUUCUUGCAGGACUGCGGUUGGGUUCGGGACCAUUUCUUGCAGGACUGCGGGUGGGUUCGGGACCAUUUCUUGCAGGACUGCGGUUGGGUUCGGGACCAUUUCUUGCAGGACUGCGGGUGGGUUCGGGAACAUUUCUUGCAGGACUGCGGUUAGGUCCGGGACCAUUUCUUGCAGGACUGCGGUUGUGUUCGGGACCAGUUCUUGCAGGAGCAGAUGGGAGUCUGACAAAAAGCCAGUGGGGGUGAGCUGGUACGGUAUUAAAAGCUGCUUGUGUGGUUGGGUGGGAGCGGGAUGAAGAAAUCAGUCCUGUGCAGACCUCUUGCUCAAGGGCUCUGGCUACUGUUAGCCAGAUAGCUAGCUAUAACUAGCUGGCUAGAAGGAUGAAGUCAGAAGCUAAUGUUUAACAGAGCCUGACCUCAGCAGGAGGAGUCAACUGAAAUUAAACUAGCUAUAAUCUUAACUAAAGAUAUGCUAUUAGAAGUUCUCAUAACAAAAUAACUUUGCUUUACAGAGAGCAGUGAGGCAGACAGUGGUGAGGCCGACCGCAACGCAGACACACAGACAGAGACAGCAGAGAGGUUGGGGUCCCCUGAAAUUGAGAAUGUUUAAUCUUAUCAAACACAUUGUUUAUCAUCAAAUGGGUUUAGAAUACAUAUCUUUUUUUAUUCAACAAGGCAAGUCAGUUAAGUACACAUUUUUAUUUACAAUGACGGCCUACACCAGCCAAACCUGACAACACUGGGCCAAUUGUGCUCCGCUCUAUGGGACUCCCUAUCACAGCCGGUUGUGAUACAGCCUGGAUUUGAACUAGGGUGUCUGCAGUGACACCUCUAGCACUGAGAUGCAGUGCCUUAGACCGCUGCACCACUCAGGAGCCACAUACAACAUUUUUUGAGUCAACUACGGUCCUUUUACAAUGCUAGAAUGCACUUACUUGUCAUUAUGUGUUGGGACAGCCCGUGGGACCUAAAAUGUAAUAAAUGAAAAAGACAAUGUAAUAUUAUUCUCAUGUAUUUGAAAAUCUAUUGUUAAAACUGCUUUGCAGAGAGUAGUUAGACAGACAGUGAUGAGGCGGAGGCAGGCUGCAAUUCAGGAGGAGGUGGAGGAGACAGACAGUGAUGAGGCGGAGGCAGGCUGCAAUUCAGGAGGAGGUGGAGGAGACCGACAGUGAUGAGGCGGAGGCAGGCUGCAAUUCAGGAGGAGGUGGAGGAGACAGACAGUGAUGAGGCGGAGACAGGCUGUAAUUCAGGAGGAGGUGGAGGAGACAGACAGACAGUGAUGAGGCUGAGGCAGGCUGCAAUUCAGGAGGAGGUGGAGGAGACAGACAGUGAUGAGGCUGAGGCAGGCUGCAAUUCAGGAGGAGGUGGAGGAGACAGACAGUGAUGAGGCGGAGGCAGGCUGCAAUUCAGGAGGAGGUGGAGGAGACAGACAGUGAUGAGGCGGAGGCAGGCUGCAAUUCAGGAGGAGGUGGAGGAGACAGACAGUGAUGAGGCGGAGGCAGGCUGCAAUUCAGGAGGAGGUGGAGGAGACAGACAGUGAUGAGGCGGAGGCAGGCUGCAAUUCAGGAGGAGGUGGAGGAGACACAGAGAGAGAAAGGUUAGUAGUACAGCUGUCCCUGAAAUAUGAUCCCCUUAGAGAAUCUGUAAUCUAAUCAAACACAUGAAUAACUUGUUUAUUUUCGAAUGGGUAUAAAAUACAACGUUCUAGUCAGCUAAGGGUGCACUUCGGCAGUUUACAAUACAGACAACUGAAUUGCAUUGCAGCUCAAGUGAGAUGCUAAGAACAUGAACGGAAUUUUAAAAAGAUAACUAAUUUCAAUACAAACAUCUCCACAUGCUAUUUCUCUGAACUUUUCUAGUGUUCAGUCCCAAUGAACUAUUUUGGGAGGGCAACCUGAUGUGCAUUUUGUGUAAUUUGUAACCACAGAAAAUGACAUUAGGCCUUCCCUAUAGACAUGCAUGAUUGGUGUUUGUUCGUCUUAUCUCGAUCGUCCAGUGGAGUUUAUAGUUUAACAACCUUUUUUUUUAACCACUACCUCACUGGUGACCUUUUAAGAAAGCCCUGUGUCGAGGUUCAGCUUAAUUUAGUAGGAGUGACUUAAUUCAUCCUCCACAUGGUGCUUCAUUCUCUCCCUGCGAAAACAGAUUUCCAUCAUCUGAAUUGUUAGUGUCCCCAGGAGGCCGUACAUUGACUUUCAGCUUCCUGCGAUUACAGGAAGUGUCUUAAUUGGGGGUCAUAGGGGCGGUUUCGAAGGAUUAUAAAAGUUAAAUCUUAUACGUAAAUCGACCCAAAAGCAUUUUUGACCUCUAUUGGAUAUAAUGGUCUUGCAGUUCAAGAAAUUAAAAUUACCUGGCUACCCAGACUCCUCAAUCCGGCCAAACGCCCACGAACGUUAGUUUCUUCUCCGCAAUGAGUCUGGAUCUGAGUACCUCCGUCGGGAGGCAGUCUCAGACUAACGAAUGUAGCAAACGACAGAGCAGCAGAAUCAGUGUGAGUCGUUAGGCUUAAAACUUGUUAGAAUGAAUUCUGAAGAGCAUGUUGGUCACAUUUUUAUUUAUUUAUUUGAAACUGUCUGCCUUUGCAUGUCUAUCUGUCUGUCUGUCUGUCUGUCUGUCUGUCUGUCUGUCUGUCUGUCUGUCUGUCUGUGUUUGUUUGUUUCUCGGAAUGUCUUUCUUUGAGUGUCUGUUUGUCUGUCGUUCUGUCAGACUGUCUGAGUCUUUCACCAAUUUACCCAUUGCAGCUGUAUCACCAACCUUUUCGCCUUGGAAGCAAUGUAUUGACUUAUGCGUCAAUGCCCUGUCUGUGAAGAUGGGAGAGAGGAGGAAGAGAAAGGAAGGAGAGAGAGAGAUGAGAUGAGGGGGAGGGAUGGAAGAAGGAGCGAGAGGGAAUGGAGGGGGAGGAGAUAGGGAGAGAGUGAGGGAGGGAGAGGGAGAUAGAGAGGG